RNAcentral lists this ribosomal RNA (253 nucleotides) under uncultured bacterium. RNAcentral describes it as "partial 16S ribosomal RNA". It matches the Rfam family "Bacterial small subunit ribosomal RNA", at positions 524 to 776 of the family's 1533-position model. The record is from RNAcentral.
UACGAAGGGGGCAAGCGUUGUCCGGAUUUAUUGGGCGUAAAGAGCGUGUAGGCGGCCAAGCAGGUCCGCUGUGAAAACUCGAGGCUCAACCUCGAGACGUCGGUGGAAACCGUUUGGCUAGAGUCCGGAAGAGGAGAGUGGAAUUCCCGGUGUAGCGGUGAAAUGCGCAGAUAUCGGGAAGAACACCCGUGGCGAAGGCGGCUCUCUGGGACGGUACUGACGCUGAGACGCGAAAGCUAGGGGAGCAAACGGG